RNAcentral lists this unclassified non-coding RNA (452 nucleotides) under Cyperus foliaceus. Its description in RNAcentral is "partial external transcribed spacer 1f". The record is from RNAcentral. Lineage: Eukaryota; Viridiplantae; Streptophyta; Magnoliopsida; Poales; Cyperaceae.
UUUUUGACUUGCUUUGCAUGGCAGGCUCCCUGCACUUACGUGCGGCCAACUGUCAUGGGGCGGUCUGUUCAUUAUCCCUUUGAUUGGUAUGUAUUGCUGUCUUGGGAUGCUUGCUGCCGGUUGCCUGUGUGGUUCUACCAUUUGAGGUAGUACAAUUGCCCCGCUUUUGUAUGCUUAGCUUGCUUAGUUGAUGUUGUUCAUGARKSKKCGCAUGAGUUGUUAGCAAAUUUCUUGUGUUUCCAUGCUUUGUGCCUUGGAGUUGCAUUUGGAUUUUUGCUGCUUCUCACGGAUAUGGUGCCUGUUGGGAGGUCUGUGGGCUUCGAGCUUUGUAGACCUUGUGAGGUUGCCUAUGCACAGAUUUUAGCCUGCUGAUGUGUCUCAGUCAUGUCGUGUUUUUUCCGUCAUGCUUUGAGGCCUCUUGUUUAGGCUUUGAUUAAGUGCAUGUGGCGUGC